GUCUUUUAUAAGUUUCAGAAAAGAGAUGGUAUUUUUAUGUGGGUGACCUUUGAGAACCAGCAAAUCACUAACAAAGAAGAUACCCAAAUUUCCCAUUUUAAGAAUAUAGCAGAAGUAUAAUUUCAAGAUUAAAAUGCAAGUCCACACAUAUGUAGCUAAGAACACAAGCCCUCUAAGAUGAGCCAAGAAAAAAAAUUACUGAUGUUUGACUCAGUUAGCUAUUCUUUCUGACAGGAGAUUAAAGCCGCCUGUGAGAUUUCUUUGACUCGUGACUCAUUUAAUUCGUUUAGACAUUGCCAGCAGAGCAAGCUACAACAAAGCAGAUCCAUCUUAACAAGCUCACUCCUGGCUGUUCUAAUAAAGAAAAAUAAUUGAAUUGCUGAUUUUGAUUUUUGAAAAUGCACUCAGCAUUUGAGUAUUUGGCUUCACACUCCAAAUAAACAUAGAAAUAUUUAUUACAUCAUCUUCUUCCCCAGAGUGAAUGGGAAAAAAAGCACACGCACAGAAUUAGCUCCAGGUAACCUUUAAACUAAUGUAGCACUGAAGUAUGUUUGCCAUGUUUAGUUUAUUAUAACUGAAUUUUUAACUUAAAAUCUUACUGUCUUAUUUGGAAGAAGCACCAGUUCAAAGCACAUGUGGAUAAAUGAAUAAUGCUGAUGUUAAGCACAUUUAUUAUGAAUGUUAUUUCUCAAGAUGCAUCUGCUGCAGCGGAGAAGAAUCAGUCCUGGUCAAAGUGAGCAGUAGGUAGAGCUGAAGCAGCAAGCUGGUGGUCAGAUAUAUUUAUUCAACCUGAACACUGUUUUUUUAAAUAUGCAUAAACAUUUGAAAAUCAGGAGACUCCAUGUAAAAAUUCAGACAUGCGGUUCCCUUGCAAAUUUAUAGGAAUUAGCAACAGGAAAGCUCAUUUCCAAUCCUCAGGUGCUAAGUAGCAGUAGAUUCCUCCAGUGCUUGCAGUGUGGACACACGCACUUCACCAAGUGGCCUUAUUCGUAUUUCCUGCCUGAUCCGUAACACAGGUUUGGGAACACUGAUAAAGACAGUAAAGCAUAAAACUUAGAAUUAAAAGACCUCUAUACUCAUUCCACUGUUAGCACCAAGGCAAUGCUCAUUUGGAUGUAGCUAGCAUCUAGACAGCUAGAUCUUAUCCAAAUAUACUGAUGAUGGGCUGUGUAUCAUCUUUAAGAGGCAGUUUUACCACAGCUAUGUCCAAUGUACAGCAAACUUGUUCAAUUAAUAGCUUAAUGCUUUACAACAAAGUGGAUGGUCUCUGUAUCUUGACUAGGAUGGGAGGGGAGAGGGUUAUUAUUAAAGUUGUAUCUAGAACCUGGGACUUUAGAUAUUAUCUAAUUUAAACUUCACAAUAAGGUCAGGAGGCUGGUGUUUUAUAGAUAGAAAAGCAAAGUUAAGGAAAAUAAGCUUACUUGAUGUUAAACAAUUACUAAGUGGUAGGGCAGCUAUUCAAAACCAAGUCUGUGUGACUAAAAAAAAAAAAAAAA
This 1496-nucleotide long non-coding RNA is filed under the name Macaca fascicularis (crab-eating macaque). RNAcentral's name for it is "lncRNA (ENSMFAG00000062699.1)". The record is from RNAcentral. Lineage: Eukaryota; Metazoa; Chordata; Mammalia; Primates; Cercopithecidae.